RNAcentral lists this transfer RNA (64 nucleotides) under Aulacochilus grouvellei. RNAcentral describes it as "tRNA-Pro". The record is from RNAcentral. Lineage: Eukaryota; Metazoa; Arthropoda; Insecta; Coleoptera; Erotylidae.
CAGAGAAUAGUUUAAAAAAUAUUAAUUUUGGAGAUUAAAGAUAGAAGGAAAAUUCUUUCUCUGA